GGCUCACCUAGGCGACGAUCCCUAGCUGGUCUGAGAGGAUGACCAGCCACACUGGAACUGAGACACGGUCCAGACUCCUACGGGAGGCAGCAGUGGGGAAUAUUGCACAAUGGGCGCAAGCCUGAUGCAGCCAUGCCGCGUGUGUGAAGAAGGCCUUCGGGUUGUAAAGCACUUUCAGCGGGGAGGAAGGCGGUGAGGUUAAUAACCUCAUCGAUUGACGUUACCCGCAGAAGAAGCACCGGCUAACUCCGUGCCAGCAGCCGCGGUAAUACGGAGGGUGCAAGCGUUAAUCGGAAUUACUGGGCGUAAAGCGCACGCAGGCGGUCUGUCAAGUCGGAUGUGAAAUCCCCGGGCUCAACCUGGGAACUGCAUUCGAAACUGGCAGGCUAGAGUCUUGUAGAGGGGGGUAGAAUUCCAGGUGUAGCGGUGAAAUGCGUAGAGAUCUGGAGGAAUACCGGUGGCGAAGGCGGCCCCCUGGACAAAGACUGACGCUCAGGUGCGAAAGCGUGGGGAGCAAACAGGAUUAGAUACCCUGGUAGUCCACGCCGUAAACGAUGUCGAUUUGGAGGUUGUGCCCUUGAGGCGUGGCUUCCGGAGCUAACGCGUUAAAUCGACCGCCUGGGGAGUACGGCCGCAAGGUUAAAACUCAAAUGAAUUGACGGGGGCCCGCACAAGCGGUGGAGCAUGUGGUUUAAUUCGAUGCAACGCGAAGAACCUUACCUGGUCUUGACAUCCACAGAACUUUCCAGAGAUGGAUUGGUGCCUUCGGGAACUGUGAGACAGGUGCUGCAUGGCUGUCGUCAGCUCGUGUUGUGAAAUGUUGGGUUAAGUCCCGCAACGAGCGCAACCCUUAUCCUUUGUUGCCAGCGGUUCGGCCGGGAACUCAAAGGAGACUGCCAGUGAUAAACUGGAGGAAGGUGGGGAUGACGUCAAGUCAUCAUGGCCCUUACGACCAGGGCUACACACGUGCUACAAUGGCAUAUACAAAGAGAAGCGACCUCGCGAGAGCAAGCGGACCUCAUAAAGUAUGUCGUAGUCCGGAUUGGAGUCUGCAACUCGACUCCAUGAAGUCGGAAUCGCUAGUAAUCGUAGAUCAGAAUGCUACGGUGAAUACGUUCCCGGGCCUUGUACACACCGCCCGUCACACCAUGGGAGUGGGUUGCAAAAGAAGUAGGUAGCUUAACCUUCGGGAGGGCGCUUACCACUUUGUGAUUCAUGACUGGGGUGAAGUCGUAACAAGGUAACCGUAGGGGAACCUGCGGUUGGAUCACCUCCUUACCUUAAAGAA
RNAcentral lists this ribosomal RNA (1288 nucleotides) under Klebsiella pneumoniae. RNAcentral's name for it is "bacterial SSU rRNA". It matches the Rfam family "Bacterial small subunit ribosomal RNA", at positions 262 to 1533 of the family's 1533-position model. Lineage: Bacteria; Pseudomonadati; Pseudomonadota; Gammaproteobacteria; Enterobacterales; Enterobacteriaceae. The record is from RNAcentral.